UCAUCAAUGAAUAUUAGAACCCCAAUUCGAGCCCUCACUUCAGUUUCUACCAGUUUGUUUUCGGAUGGAAAAAGCAAAGUCUUGGUCUAACCUCAAAUUCCCAUUGCCCACUAUGAUCUCUUUGUAGCAAAUAAUGGUUCUCACAACACGCCCAGUAAUGGAGACGAGACUUUUGACUUCUGGCCAGGUGAGAAUGACCUUCACUCUCUUGUCCCUCUGUAUCUCUGCUUGCUUUCCCAAAGACUCCCAAGAAAAAAUUAUCACUCUCUGGUUCUUCUUUUCCUAGACUGAUUUCCCCUGCUCACAGGUCCUCUCUUGUUUCCCAAACCAAUAGGAACCCCUCAAAAUAUCUACAAACCGGUCACAGAAGCACUCUUCCCAUGAUGCCCGCUGCACACUAUUCAAUGUGGAGGAGAUCACUUACAUCAACUGAAAAAUAGAUCACCAUGCAUAAACCUAUGCUGCCCCGGGGGAUUCACAACAAACUUCAUUUACUAACUUUUGAGCUCUGACUAUUCUCUCUCGCAAGCUAUCAUCUCUGCUGCCUACAAGUCAUGGGACUUCCCAAUAAGCUUCUUGUUUUAGAAUCUUCCACUGAGCUCCGAUAGUAUCGGCUUUAGAGGGCCAUAACAGCGAUUCAGCGACUUCUCAAUCAGUUAGCCAAAAGAUCUUGAGAAUACGCUCCCAUACAAGGAUUCAUGGCCAGUUUUGGGUCCUCCCUCUACCACAACUCACGCAUUGAACGGGAUCCAGAAAUAGGAGUGGCCUCGUCAUGAAAAAAAGCAUAAAACAGGGCAUAGAAGAAAACAAGUAAAAAGGUCCUCAAAGAAGGCUUCACAUCAUGAGUUAUCCGUGAACCUUCUCUGAUUUAGGUGAGAAAAAUAGCAUCAAAUGCAACUAUGACCAUUUUCACAAUAGGAGCAAAACAUACUAAGAUUAACAGUGGUAAACAUGCAGGCAAGAUUAUGUUUCAACAAGCAAUAAGUCGCCUUCAUUAUCCACCCCAAGCAAAUCAACAAAUAUUCAAAU
RNAcentral lists this long non-coding RNA (1029 nucleotides) under Vitis vinifera (wine grape). RNAcentral's name for it is "long non-coding RNA (VVIN_LNC007221)". Lineage: Eukaryota; Viridiplantae; Streptophyta; Magnoliopsida; Vitales; Vitaceae. The record is from RNAcentral.